Molecule: long non-coding RNA, 1295 nt
Organism: Lycium barbarum (goji berry)
Lineage: Eukaryota; Viridiplantae; Streptophyta; Magnoliopsida; Solanales; Solanaceae
Exons: 3
Source: RefSeq, a predicted model, not a curated record
UUUCUCCCUAAACCAACAGCCCUAACCAAACAACCUCUUCAACCAUCGCCGCCACCCCACCCCCCAUCACGUCACUUCCGUCACCUCACCACCACCGCUUCCAUCGGACCACCGAACCAAACAGCCUUCUCUCUCUUAAAUCGAAAAACAUUGAAAUCCGUUGGUUUGAAGCUUUCAUCGCCUCUACUGCUACCACGUCUCCUUUCCCUUUGAUUGACGUGGUGGCAGAGCCUAAGGGGUCCAAUAGGAGGUCGUUUCAACCUCUGUAGAAGAGGAACGCGAUGAACCGCUGGUUUCAAGUUCGCCUCUCCUUCGACCCGGUGGGUAUAAGUUCGUUCAGCCCUCAGGCCCGAAAACCAUGGAGAAAUCUCCAUAUUCGGAGUCCCAACGAAUCUCCAGCCAUCAAAUCCUAUCUGAAAAGGUGAUUCUUUUCCUUCUGACCAUAAUUUUAUCUUUUUCCAGUCAUUAAAGAUUUCCCUUUUUUUAUCUCUCUUUCAAAAUUCAAAUUCAGCUUUUUUGAGGGAGCCGUUAACCCCAUCCUUUGGUUAUAAAUAGAGCUCGUCUUAGGCUGUUGAGAUAGGCAGAGAACUGGAGAGAAAACUUUGAUUUACUUUAAAGUUGAAUUGCAAACCCUUUUAUUUUCAUAAGCCUUCGUAACUAAUAAAAUCCGUAGUUCUUCCUAAGUUCUCAGAAAAUCCUGUUUUAACUCUUAAGUUCUUUUGGCUGUAUAAUUUUGGUUGUUCCUGGCUAAGCAAGGACUGUUUGGAGCGGAUUCGGAGACUCGACGAUGACAUUAGCCUCAGUUCGCUGUCUCGAAGAAGAUCGUGGGCAGCUCGAAUCAUAGGUUGGAUUUAGCUUGAGUUUGGAUCGUAUUGGAGAGCGUUUGAGGUACGGACGCACAGCCUGGUGAUCCACCUGUUUAGGACACCCUUUGUGCUAUUCGGAGUGCUCCUCUCUUUCCGGAGCUUAUACUUUUGGUAUAUAUAUAUUUAUUAGUGCAUUUGUAUAUAUUCGUUCAUGGGUACGGCGGGGCCCUGUCCCGUCAUAUGAUUCUGUCGGUCUGUUUAGAGGUCUGUGGACAUGUUUGUGGGUUAGGGUCUUUCUGUAUGGAUAGGUGUAUAUGUUGUUUGGGCGAUCCCAUACGCCGAGGCGGCCGGUCCGCAUAUGUUUAUACGUUGCUUUGCUAGCCCUGUGUGGCCUUUGUUGGUGUUUGCUGUGUACAGGGUUAUUUUGGAUAGUCUGUAAAACAGAGGAAACUCUGCCGAAAUUUUUCUGGGAGUUGUCUAAAUUUAGAA